GGGGAUGUAAAUGGUUUCGACAGUUACUAAAGAAGUAUUUAUAGCGAGUAGUGGAUGGUUGCUUUGGCCACUUAAAAUCAAGCAAAUUAAAUAUAAAUGCUAAUAGAAAACAAGAAUUAGCUUACGCUGCCUAAGUUGCAGUGACGUCUUACCUUAGAGCCUACUGCUAAGAAUAAGGCGACGAAUAAAGUAGGAAACGAAGUUAUCUAAUCCAUUUAGAUAAUGGGUAAUAUAAAUGGAUAGGGAUGAAAUGUAUUGUUUGUUUACACGUUCAUCCAGAAAGAUUAAAAACAAACUGCACUCGGAGAAGUAAAUAUGGAAAGGUAAUUGGACGUGAGUUCGACUCUCACCAUCUCCACCA
RNAcentral lists this transfer-messenger RNA (361 nucleotides) under chicken gut metagenome. It matches the Rfam family "transfer-messenger RNA". Rfam says of the family: Bacterial tmRNA, also known as 10Sa RNA or SsrA, is named for its dual tRNA and mRNA-like properties. Its role is to liberate the mRNA from a stalled ribosome. The record is from RNAcentral.